AGUGAACGCUGGCGGCGUGCUUAACACAUGCAAGUCGAACGAGAACGGAUUAUAGCUUGCUAUAAUUGUCAGCUAAGUGGCGCACGGGUGAGUAAUGUAUAGGUAAUAUGCCUCUUACUAAGGGAUAACAAAUGGAAACGUUUGCUAAUACCUUAUACUCCUUAUUAACAGAAGUUAAUAAGUGAACGAUUUAUUGGUAAGAGAUUAGCCUGUGUUGUAUCAGUUAGUUGGUGGGGUAAUGGCUUACCAAGACUAUGACACAUAACUGGUUUGAGAGGAUGAUCAGUCACACUGGAACUGAGACACGGUCCAGACUCCUACGGGAGGCAGCAGUGGGGAAUAUUGCACAAUGGACGAAAGUCUGAUGCAGCAACGCCGCGUGGAGGAUGACACAUUUCGGUGCGUAAACUCCUUUUAUAUGAGAAGAUAAUGACGGUAUUAUAUGAAUAAGCACCGGCUAACUCCGUGCCAGCAGCCGCAGUAA
Molecule: ribosomal RNA, 484 nt
Filed under: uncultured bacterium
Lineage: Bacteria
Description: partial 16S ribosomal RNA
Rfam family: Bacterial small subunit ribosomal RNA
Source: RNAcentral